This 429-nucleotide ribosomal RNA is filed under the name Acidobacteriota bacterium. RNAcentral describes it as "Acidobacteria bacterium partial 16S ribosomal RNA". It matches the Rfam family "Bacterial small subunit ribosomal RNA", at positions 355 to 776 of the family's 1533-position model. The record is from RNAcentral. Lineage: Bacteria; Pseudomonadati; Acidobacteriota.
UGGGGAAUUUUGGACAAUGGGGGAAACCCUGAUCCAGCCAUCCCGCGUGUGCGAUGAAGGCCUUCGGGUUGUAAAGCACUUUUGGCAGGGAAGAAACGUCAUGGGUUAAUACCCCGUGCAACUGACGGUACCUUCAGAAUAAGCACCGGCUAACUACGUGCCAGCAGCCGCGGUAAUACGUAGGGUGCAAGCGUUAAUCGGAAUUACUGGGCGUAAAGCGUGCGCAGGCGGUUCGGAAAGAAAGAUGUGAAAUCCCAGAGCUCAACUUUGGAACUGCCUUUUUAACUACCGGGCUAGAGGGUGUCAGAGGGAGGUGGAAUUCCGCGUGUAGCAGUGAAAUGCGUAGAUAUGCGGAGGAACACCGAUGGCGAAGGCAGCCUCCUGGGAUAACACUGACGCUCAUGCACGAAAGCGUGGGGAGCAAACAGG